CGAACCUGUGUCCCCUGCAUUGGCAGACUCUCAACCAUUGCGCCACCAGGGAAGCCCUUGAGUUAACUUUUGAGUAAGAGGUAAGAAGCGGAUUUAUUUAGAGAGAAACACUCCACGGACAGAGUGUGGGCCACCUCAGAAGAUGAUCCAUUCUAUAGGUGCUUUAAUAUUCCAGAC
This is a long non-coding RNA of Lagenorhynchus albirostris (white-beaked dolphin), 177 nucleotides long. RefSeq lists it as uncharacterized. The transcript is spliced from 3 exons. The record is from RefSeq and is a predicted model, not a curated record. NCBI's taxonomy places the organism in Eukaryota, Metazoa, Chordata, Mammalia, Artiodactyla, Delphinidae.